GAUGAACGCUGGCGGCGUGCCUAAUACAUGCAAGUCGAGCGAACAGACGAGGAGCUUGCUCCUCUGACGUUAGCGGCGGACGGGUGAGUCACACGUGUAUAACCUACCUAUAAGACUGGGAUAACUUCGGGAAACCGGAUCUAAUACCGGAUAAUAUAUUGAACCGCAUGGUUCAAUAGUGAAAGACGGUUUUGCUGUCACUACUAGAUGGAUCCGCGCCGCAUUAGCUAGUUGGUAAGGUAACGGCUUACCAAGGCAACGAUGCGUAGCCGACCUGAGAGGGUGAUCGGCCACACUGGAACUGAGACACGGUCCAGACUCCUACGGGAGGCAGCAGUAGGGAAUCUUCCGCAAUGGGCGAAAGCCUGACGGAGCAACGCCGCGUGAGUGAUGAAGGUCUUCGGAUCGUAAAACUCUGUUAUUAGGGAAGAACAGAUGUGUAAGUAAAUAUGCACGUCUUGACGGUACCUAAUCAGAAAGCCACGGCUAACUACGUG
This 497-nucleotide ribosomal RNA is filed under the name uncultured bacterium. Its description in RNAcentral is "partial 16S ribosomal RNA". It matches the Rfam family "Bacterial small subunit ribosomal RNA", at positions 28 to 507 of the family's 1533-position model. The record is from RNAcentral.